This is a long non-coding RNA of Gallus gallus (chicken), 389 nucleotides long. The record is from Ensembl. NCBI's taxonomy places the organism in Eukaryota, Metazoa, Chordata, Aves, Galliformes, Phasianidae.
UGUGGAGAGAAAAACCCUCUGACACACCAUUUCCAGAGAGCAGCAGAACGCCGGGCCGGCAGCACCCGCACCAUCUUCGGAGUGACCUCCUGCCUCAGGCCCAGAGUUACUCGUGCUUCGGGCCUUGGAGCUGCAGAACCGCCUGUGCGUGGGACCAACCUGCACCGCGCCUAACGGCAUUCGCUCCCCGCUCUUGGAACCUGAACUGCACAGAAUGUAGCACUCUCCAAGUCAAGACCCUCGUGCAUGAUGACAUCCGAAGACAGCCAUACUGUCCACAGACAGCUGCACUUGCACCCCAGCACACAGCGGCUGUAAAGGUGGGAGGUAUCAGAGGGAGAUGAGAGCAAAACUUUGCACUAAUGAAAGUACCACACCAACGUUAAUAC